This 497-nucleotide ribosomal RNA is filed under the name uncultured bacterium. RNAcentral describes it as "partial 16S ribosomal RNA". It matches the Rfam family "Bacterial small subunit ribosomal RNA", at positions 28 to 507 of the family's 1533-position model. The record is from RNAcentral.
GACGAACGCUGGCGGCGUGCCUAAUACAUGCAAGUUGAGCGCUGAAGGUUGGUACUUGUACCGACUGGAUGAGCAGCGAACGGGUGAGUAACGCGUGGGGAAUCUGCCUUUGAGCGGGGGACAACAUUUGGAAACGAAUGCUAAUACCGCAUAAAAACUUUAAACACAAGUUUUAAGUUUGAAACAUGCAAUUGCAUCACUCAAAGAUGAUCCCGCGUUGUAUUAGCUAGUUGGUGAGGUAAAGGCUCACCAAGGCGAUGAUACAUAGCCGACCUGAGAGGGUGAUCGGCCACAUUGGGACUGAGACACGGCCCAAACUCCUACGGGAGGCAGCAGUAGGGAAUCUUCGGCAAUGGACGAAAGUCUGACCGAGCAACGCCGCGUGAGUGAAGAAGGUUUUCGGAUCGUAAAACUCUGUUGGCAGAGAAGAACGUUGGUGAGAGUGGAAAGCUCAUCAAGUGACGGUAACUACCCAGAAAGGGACGGCUAACUACGUG